RNAcentral lists this ribosomal RNA (464 nucleotides) under uncultured Klebsiella sp. RNAcentral's name for it is "bacterial SSU rRNA". It matches the Rfam family "Bacterial small subunit ribosomal RNA", at positions 338 to 795 of the family's 1533-position model. Lineage: Bacteria; Pseudomonadati; Pseudomonadota; Gammaproteobacteria; Enterobacterales; Enterobacteriaceae. The record is from RNAcentral.
CCUACGGGGGGCUGCAGUGGGGAAUAUCGCACAAUGGGCGCAAGCCUGAUGCAGCCAUGCCGCGUGUGUGAAGAAGGCCUUCGGGUUGUAAAGCACUUUCAGCGGGGAGGAAGGCGUUAAGGUUAAUAACCUUGUCGAUUGACGUUACCCGCAGAAGAAGCACCGGCUAACUCCGUGCCAGCAGCCGCGGUAAUACGGAGGGUGCAAGCGUUAAUCGGAAUUACUGGGCGUAAAGCGCACGCAGGCGGUCUGUCAAGUCGGAUGUGAAAUCCCCGGGCUCAACCUGGGAACUGCAUUCGAAACUGGCAGGCUAGAGUCUUGUAGAGGGGGGUAGAAUUCCAGGUGUAGCGGUGAAAUGCGUAGAGAUCUGGAGGAAUACCGGUGGCGAAGGCGGCCCCCUGGACAAAGACUGACGCUCAGGUGCGAAAGCGUGGGGAGCAAACAGGAUUAGAUACCCUAUAGUC